AACGAACGCUGGCGGCAUGCCUAACACAUGCAAGUCGAACGAGACCUUCGGGUCUAUUGGCGCACGGGUGCGUAACGCGUGGGAACCUGCCCUUAGGUUCGGAAUAACUCCCCGAAAGGGGUGCUAAUACCGGAUAAUGUCUUCGGACCAAAGAUUUAUUGACUUUGGAUGGGCCAGCGUUGGAUUAGCUAGUUGGUAGGGUAAAAGCCUACCAAGGGGUGGAUCCAUAGCUGGUCUGAGAGGAUGAUAAGCCACAAUGGGACUGAGACACGGCCCAGACUCCUACGGGAGGCAGCAGUGGGGAAUAUUGGACAAUGGGCGAAAGCCUGAUCCAGCAAUGCCGCGUGAGUGAUGAAGGCCUUAGGGUUGUAAAGCUCUUUUACCCGGGAUGAUAAUGACAGUACCGGGAGAAUAAGCUCCGGCUAACUCCGUG
RNAcentral lists this ribosomal RNA (433 nucleotides) under uncultured bacterium. Its description in RNAcentral is "partial 16S ribosomal RNA". It matches the Rfam family "Bacterial small subunit ribosomal RNA", at positions 29 to 507 of the family's 1533-position model. The record is from RNAcentral.